This 255-nucleotide ribosomal RNA is filed under the name uncultured bacterium. RNAcentral describes it as "partial 16S ribosomal RNA". It matches the Rfam family "Bacterial small subunit ribosomal RNA", at positions 793 to 1055 of the family's 1533-position model. The record is from RNAcentral.
GUCCACGCCGUAAACUAUGAUUACUCGUUCUCGGGACCAUUGGUUUCGGGACUAAGCGAAGUGAUAAGUAAUCCACCUGGGGAGUACGAUCGCAAGGUUGAAACUCAAAGGAAUUGACGGGGGCCCGCACAAGCGGUGGAGCAUGUGGUUUAAUUCGAUGAUACGCGAGGAACCUUACCAGGGCUUAAAUGCAGAACGAAUGUUGUGGAACAUGACAGUCUUCGGACGGUCUGCAAGGUGCUGCAUGGCUGUCGU